UACGUAGGGGGCAAGCGUUGUCCGGAAUUAUUGGGCGUAAAGAGCGCGUAGGCGGUCCGAUAAGUCGGCUGUGAAAGUCAGGGGCUCAACCCCUGAAUGCCGGCCGAUACUGUCGGGCUAGAGUCCGGAAGAGGCGAGUGGAAUUCCCAGUGUAGCGGUGAAAUGCGUAGAUAUUGGGAGGAACACCGGUGGCGAAGGCGGCUCACUGGACCGGUACUGACGCUGAGACGCGAAAGCCAGGGGAGCAAACGGG
Molecule: ribosomal RNA, 253 nt
Filed under: uncultured bacterium
Lineage: Bacteria
Description: partial 16S ribosomal RNA
Rfam family: Bacterial small subunit ribosomal RNA
Source: RNAcentral